GGUGGUUGGGUGGAGGC
RNAcentral lists this unclassified non-coding RNA (17 nucleotides) under Mus musculus (house mouse). RNAcentral's name for it is "oocyte_clustered_small_RNA10554". The record is from RNAcentral. Lineage: Eukaryota; Metazoa; Chordata; Mammalia; Rodentia; Muridae.